Molecule: ribosomal RNA, 1348 nt
Filed under: metagenome
Description: bacterial LSU rRNA
Rfam family: Bacterial large subunit ribosomal RNA
Source: RNAcentral
GUUUGGGAGGAGUUUACGAACUCCGAGUGGUGAAGGAUAGUGCCAAGAAAAGCUGGCUAUGUGAUGAAGAUAGAACACCCGUACCCGAAACCGACACAGGUAGGGAGGUUGAGAAUACCAAGGGGCGCGAGAUAACUCUCUCUAAGGAACUCGGCAAAAUGGCCCCGUAACUUCGGGAGAAGGGGUGCCCACCUCAUACGUGGGUCGCAGUGAAGAGAUCCAGGCGACUGUUUACCAAAAACACAGGUCUCCGCCAACUCGCAAGAGGACGUAUGGGGGCUGACGCCUGCCCAGUGCCGGAAGGUUAAGGAAGCUGGUCAGCGAAAGUAAAGCUGGCGACUGAAGCCCCGGUGAACGGCGGCCGUAACUAUAACGGUCCUAAGGUAGCGAAAUUCCUUGUCGGGUAAGUUCCGACCCGCACGAAAGGCGUAACGAUCUGGAUGGUGUCUCAGAGAGAGACUCGGCGAAAUAGGAAUGUCUGUGAAGAUACGGACUGCCUGCACCUGGACAGAAAGACCCUAUGAAGCUUUACUGUAGCCUGGAAUUGUGUUCGGGCUUCGCUUGCGCAGGAUAGGUGGGAAGCGGUGAACUAUUCCUUUUGGGGAAUAAGGAGCUAACGGUGAGAUACCACUCUGGCGAAGCUAGAAUUCUAACCCACGACCGUCAGCCGGUUGGGGAACAGUUUCAGGUGGGCAGUUUGACUGGGGCGGUCGCCUCCUAAAAAGUAACGGAGGCGCGCAAAGGUUCCCUCAGCACGCUUGGAAACCGUGCGACGAGUGUAAAAGCAAAAGGGAGCUUGACUGCAAGACUGACAAGUCGAGCAGGUACGAAAGUAGGCUUUAGUGAUCCGACGGCGCAGAGUGGAAUGGCCGUCGCUCAACGGAUAAAAGUUACUCUAGGGAUAACAGGCUGAUCUCCCCCAAGAGUCCACAUCGACGGGGAGGUUUGGCACCUCGAUGUCGGCUCAUCGCAACCUGGGGCGGAAGUACGUCCCAAGGGUUGGGCUGUUCGCCCAUUAAAGCGGUACGUGAGCUGGGUUCAGGACGUCGUGAGACAGUUCGGUCCAUAUCCGGUGCAGGCGCAAGAGUAUUGAGAGGAGUCCUCCUUAGUACGAGAGGACCGGGAGGAACGCACCGCUGGUGUACCAGUUAUUGUACCAACAGUAAACGCUGGGUAGCCAAGUGCGGAGAGGAUAACCGCUGAAAGCAUCUAAGUGGGAAGCCCACCUCAAGAUGAGUACUCUCACUACAAAAAGUAGGUAAGGUCACGGGCAGAACACCCGUUAAUAGGCUCUAAGUGGAAGUGCAGUAAUGUAUGAAGCUGAGGGGUACUAAUAGACCGAGGGCUU